GAUGAACGCUGGCGGCGUGCCUAAUACAUGCAAGUCGAGCGAACAGACGAGGAGCUUGCUCCUCUGACGUUAGCGGCGGACGGGUGAGUAACACGUGGAUAACCUACCUAUAAGACUGGGAUAACUUCGGGAAACCGGAGCUAAUACCGGAUAACAUGUUGAACCGCAUGGUUCAACAGUGAAAGACGGUUUUGCUGUCACUUAUAGAUGGUUCCGCGCCGCAUUAGCUAGUUGGUAAGGUAACGGCUUACCAAGGCUACGAUGCGUAGCCGACCUGAGAGGGUGAUCGGCCACACUGGAACUGAGACACGGUCCAGACUCCUACGGGAGGCAGCAGUAGGGAAUCUUCCACAAUGGGCGAAAGCCUGACGGAGCAACGCCGCGUGAGUGAAGAAGGUCUUCGGAUCGUAAAACUCUGUUAUUAGGGAAGAACAAAUGUGUAAGUAACUAUGCACGUCUUGACGGUACCUAAUCAGAAAGCCACGGCUAACUACGUG
RNAcentral lists this ribosomal RNA (497 nucleotides) under uncultured bacterium. RNAcentral's name for it is "partial 16S ribosomal RNA". It matches the Rfam family "Bacterial small subunit ribosomal RNA", at positions 28 to 507 of the family's 1533-position model. The record is from RNAcentral.